AACCAUAGAAACCUGCGGAGUACCUGCGGAAGGAUCAUUAAAAAGCUUUGCCCGCGGACCCUGGGUCCAAGGCGCAAAACCCACACUAUGUGCACUGUUAUCGUUCUUUUGGCAGGGGCUUGGGGUGUCUUCCAACUUGGGGAACCUCAACUUCUCGUCUAGCUCUAUCCACCUCGGACAGCUGGACAUGAGAAGCAGUUACUCUGCCAAGUGACCCUUAAAAACACGCUUUUUGUCUGA
This 240-nucleotide unclassified non-coding RNA is filed under the name soil metagenome. Its description in RNAcentral is "partial contains 5.8S ribosomal RNA, internal transcribed spacer 2, and large subunit ribosomal RNA". The record is from RNAcentral.